Molecule: long non-coding RNA, 284 nt
Filed under: Mytilus galloprovincialis (Mediterranean mussel)
Lineage: Eukaryota; Metazoa; Mollusca; Bivalvia; Mytilida; Mytilidae
Source: RNAcentral
UUCUUCUUGUGACUAAAUAUUGUCAACAACAAUAAACGGUCAUUUCCAAUCUACGUGUUGUUAAAUCAUAUAUACCAGUAUUUAUGUCAUUCAAAUUUUUUGUCGUUUGUACACUCCCACGAGAUAAAGCUGACAUAUAGCAGCUGAGAAAACCAAAAUUAUCUUCUAAGUCAGAAGAGCGCAUUAAAAGUUCUCAGCAUGGAUUGGAUAGUCUAUAUAAAAUCGAUUGGAAUCUGAAGGCUAGUAUGUUCUUCUUAUCUGACCAUCACAAUAAAAUUAAUCAC